UAUAGGGUCAAGUGAAUAAGUGCAUGUGGUGGAUGCCUUGGCGAUUACAGGCGAUGAAGGACGUUGUAGCCUGCGAAAAGCCGCGGGGAGCUGGCAAACAAGCUUUGAUCCGCGGAUGUCCGAAUGGGGAAACCCACCCGCAAGGGUAUCGCUGACUGAAUUCAUAGGUCAGCGAGGCGAACGUGGCGAACUGAAACAUCUAAGUAGCCACAGGAAAAGAAAUCAACCGAGAUUCCGAAAGUAGUGGCGAGCGAAAUCGGAGCAGCCUGUGCGUGAUAGUCGAUUGGCUAGUGGAACGGUAUGGAAAGGCCGGCCAUAGAGGGUGAUAGCCCCUUACACGAAAGCGAAUCGGUGGUACUGAGCGUACGACAAGUAGGGCGGGACACGUGUAAUCCUGUCUGAAGAUGGGGGGACCAUCCUCCAAGGCUAAAUACUCGUAAUCGACCGAUAGUGAACAAGUACUGUGAAGGAAAGGCGAAAAGAACCCCGGGAGGGGAGUGAAAUAGAUCCUGAAACCGCAUGCAUACAAACAGUCGGAGCCUCGCAAGGGGUGACGGCGUACCUUUUGUAUAAUGGGUCAGCGACUUACGUUCAGUGGCAAGCUUAACCAGAUAGGGGAGGCGCAGGGAAACCGAGUCCGAAUAGGGCGCCAUAGUCGCUGGGCGUAGACCCGAAACCAGGUGAUCUAUCCAUGGUCAGGAUGAAGGUUGGGUAACACCAGCUGGAGGUCCGAACCGACUAAUGUUGCAAAAUUAGCGGAUGAACUGUGGAUAGGGGUGAAAGGCUAAUCAAACCUGGAAAUAGCUGGUUCUCCCCGAAAACUAUUUAGGUAGUGCGUCAUGUAUUGCUCCAGGGGGUAGAGCACUGUAAUGGUUGUGGGGGCCAUCGCGGCUUACCACGCCAUAGCAAACUCCGAAUACCUGGAAGUAUGAGCAUGGCAGACAGUCGCCGGGUGCUAACGUCCGGCGGCAAGAGGGAAACAACCCAGACCUACAGCUAAGGUCCCAAAGUGUGGCUAAGUGGGAAACGAAGUGGGAAGGCUAAAACAGUCAGGAUGUUGGCUUAGAAGCAGCCAUCAUUUAAAGAAAGCGUAAUAGCUCACUGGUCGAGUCGUCCUGCGCGGAAGAUGUAACGGGGCUAAGCCAUGCACCGAAGCUUAGGCUGCACUCUUUGAGUGCGGGGUAGGGGAGCGUUCUGUAAGCCUGUGAAGGUGUCUCGUAAGGGAUGCUGGAGGUAUCAGAAGUGCGAAUGCUGACAUGAGUAGCGUUAAAGCGGGUGAAAAGCCCGCUCGCCGUAAGCGCAAGGUUUCCUACGCAACGUUCAUCGGCGUAGGGUGAGUCGGCCCCUAAGGUGAGGGCGAAAGCCAUAGCUGAUGGGAAGCUGGUUAAUAUUCCAGCACCGAUUUCUAGUGCGAUGGGGGGACGGAUCGUGGAAGGUUGUCCGGGUGUUGGAAGUCCCGGUUCCUGACCUGUAGGUGUCUGGUAGGUAAAUCCGCCAGGCGUAUGCCGAGGGGUUGGGACGAGCGAGCUUGCUCGCGAAGCAACUGGAAGUGGUUCCAAGAAAAGCCUCUAAGCUUCAGCUAGAAACGACCGUACCGCAAACCAACACUGGUGCGCGAGAUGAGUAUUCUCAGGCGCUUGAGAGAACUCGGGAGAAGGAACUCGGCAAAUUGACACCGUAACUUCGGAAGAAGGUGUGCCUUGGUAGCUUGAGUGUGAACAACACAAGGGCGAAGAGGUUGCAAAGAAUAGGUGGCUGCGACUGUUUAUUAAAAACACAGCACUCUGCAAACACGAAAGUGGAC
Molecule: ribosomal RNA, 1804 nt
Filed under: Trueperella pyogenes
Lineage: Bacteria; Bacillati; Actinomycetota; Actinomycetes; Actinomycetales; Actinomycetaceae
Description: partial 23S ribosomal RNA
Rfam family: Bacterial large subunit ribosomal RNA
Source: RNAcentral